This 1353-nucleotide ribosomal RNA is filed under the name Escherichia coli. RNAcentral describes it as "partial 23S ribosomal RNA". It matches the Rfam family "Bacterial large subunit ribosomal RNA", at positions 391 to 1746 of the family's 2925-position model. The record is from RNAcentral. Lineage: Bacteria; Pseudomonadati; Pseudomonadota; Gammaproteobacteria; Enterobacterales; Enterobacteriaceae.
CACAUGCUGUGAGCUCGAUGAGUAGGGCGGGACACGUGGUAUCCUGUCUGAAUAUGGGGGGACCAUCCUCCAAGGCUAAAUACUCCUGACUGACCGAUAGUGAACCAGUACCGUGAGGGAAAGGCGAAAAGAACCCCGGCGAGGGGAGUGAAAAAGAACCUGAAACCGUGUACGUACAAGCAGUGGGAGCACGCUUAGGCGUGUGACUGCGUACCUUUUGUAUAAUGGGUCAGCGACUUAUAUUCUGUAGCAAGGUUAACCGAAUAGGGGAGCCGAAGGGAAACCGAGUCUUAACUGGGCGUUAAGUUGCAGGGUAUAGACCCGAAACCCGGUGAUCUAGCCAUGGGCAGGUUGAAGGUUGGGUAACACUAACUGGAGGACCGAACCGACUAAUGUUGAAAAAUUAGCGGAUGACUUGUGGCUGGGGGUGAAAGGCCAAUCAAACCGGGAGAUAGCUGGUUCUCCCCGAAAGCUAUUUAGGUAGCGCCUCGUGAAUUCAUCUCCGGGGGUAGAGCACUGUUUCGGCAAGGGGGUCAUCCCGACUUACCAACCCGAUGCAAACUGCGAAUACCGGAGAAUGUUAUCACGGGAGACACACGGCGGGUGCUAACGUCCGUCGUGAAGAGGGAAACAACCCAGACCGCCAGCUAAGGUCCCAAAGUCAUGGUUAAGUGGGAAACGAUGUGGGAAGGCCCAGACAGCCAGGAUGUUGGCUUAGAAGCAGCCAUCAUUUAAAGAAAGCGUAAUAGCUCACUGGUCGAGUCGGCCUGCGCGGAAGAUGUAACGGGGCUAAACCAUGCACCGAAGCUGCGGCAGCGACGCUUAUGCGUUGUUGGGUAGGGGAGCGUUCUGUAAGCCUGCGAAGGUGUGCUGUGAGGCAUGCUGGAGGUAUCAGAAGUGCGAAUGCUGACAUAAGUAACGAUAAAGCGGGUGAAAAGCCCGCUCGCCGGAAGACCAAGGGUUCCUGUCCAACGUUAAUCGGGGCAGGGUGAGUCGACCCCUAAGGCGAGGCCGAAAGGCGUAGUCGAUGGGAAACAGGUUAAUAUUCCUGUACUUGGUGUUACUGCGAAGGGGGGACGGAGAAGGCUAUGUUGGCCGGGCGACGGUUGUCCCGGUUUAAGCGUGUAGGCUGGUUUUCCAGGCAAAUCCGGAAAAUCAAGGCUGAGGCGUGAUGACGAGGCACUACGGUGCUGAAGCAACAAAUGCCCUGCUUCCAGGAAAAGCCUCUAAGCAUCAGGUAACAUCAAAUCGUACCCCAAACCGACACAGGUGGUCAGGUAGAGAAUACCAAGGCGCUUGAGAGAACUCGGGUGAAGGAACUAGGCAAAAUGGUGCCGUAACUUCGGGAGAAGG